AUUGAACGCUGGCGGCAGGCCUAACACAUGCAAGUCGAGCGGAUGAAGGGAGCUUGCUCCUGGAUUCAGCGGCGGACGGGUGAGUAAUGCCUAGGAAUCUGCCUGGUAGUGGGGGAUAACGUCCGGAAACGGGCGCUAAUACCGCAUACGUCCUGAGGGAGAAAGUGGGGGAUCUUCGGACCUCACGCUAUCAGAUGAGCCUAGGUCGGAUUAGCUAGUUGGUGUGGUAAAGGCGUACCAAGGCGACGAUCCGUAACUGGUCUGAGAGGAUGAUCCGUCACACUGGAACUGAGACACGGUCCAGACUCCUACGGGAGGCAGCAGUGGGGAAUAUUGGACAAUGGGCGAAAGCCUGAUCCAGCCAUGCCGCGUGUGUGAAGAAGGUCUUCGGAUUGUAAAGCACUUUAAGUUGGGAGGAAGGGCAGUAAGUUAAUACCUUGCUGUUUUGACGUUACCAAAAGAAUAAGCACCGGCUAACUUCGUG
RNAcentral lists this ribosomal RNA (484 nucleotides) under uncultured bacterium. RNAcentral describes it as "partial 16S ribosomal RNA". It matches the Rfam family "Bacterial small subunit ribosomal RNA", at positions 30 to 507 of the family's 1533-position model. The record is from RNAcentral.